RNAcentral lists this ribosomal RNA (255 nucleotides) under uncultured bacterium. RNAcentral describes it as "partial 16S ribosomal RNA". It matches the Rfam family "Bacterial small subunit ribosomal RNA", at positions 524 to 776 of the family's 1533-position model. The record is from RNAcentral.
UACGAAGGGGGCUAGCGUUGCUCGGAAUCACUGGGCGUAAAGGGUGCGUAGGCGGGUCUUUAAGUCAGGGGGUGAAAUCCUGGAGCUCAACUCCAGAACUGCCUUUGAUACUGAGGAUCUUGAGUUCGGGAGAGGUGAGUGGAACUGCGAGUGUAGAGGUGAAAUUCGUAGAUUAUUCGCAAGAACACCAGUGGCGAAGGCGGCUCACUGGCCCGAUACUGACGCUGAGGCACGAAAGCGUGGGGAGCAAACAGG